CAGUCGCCGCGGUAAUACGUAGGUGGCAAGCGUUGUCCGGAAUUAUUGGGCGUAAAGGGCUCGCAGGCGGUUUCUUAAGUCUGAUGUGAAAGCCCCCGGCUCAACCGGGGAGGGUCAUUGGAAACUGGGAAACUUGAGUGCAGAAGAGGAGAGUGGAAUUCCACGUGUAGCGGUGAAAUGCGUAGAGACGUGGAGGAACACCAGUGGCGAAGGCGACUCUCUGGUCUGUAACUGACGCUGAGGAGCGAAAGCGUGGGGAGCGAACAGGAUUAGAUACCCCGGUAGUCCCUGUCUCUUAUAC
RNAcentral lists this ribosomal RNA (301 nucleotides) under uncultured bacterium. RNAcentral describes it as "partial 16S ribosomal RNA". It matches the Rfam family "Bacterial small subunit ribosomal RNA", at positions 509 to 807 of the family's 1533-position model. The record is from RNAcentral.